Long non-coding RNA from Pipra filicauda (Wire-tailed manakin), 10075 nucleotides. RefSeq lists it as uncharacterized. The record is from RefSeq and is a predicted model, not a curated record. The transcript is spliced from 2 exons. NCBI's taxonomy places the organism in Eukaryota, Metazoa, Chordata, Aves, Passeriformes, Pipridae.
AUGCCUGGAAGCGUUCAAGGGAUUGGAUGGGGCUUGGAGCAAAUUGGUCUGGUGGAAGGUGUCCCUCCCCAUGGCAAGAGAGACUGGAAUAAGGUGUUCUUUAAAGUGCUUUCCAGCCCAAACCAUUCUAUAUUUCUAUGAUAAGUACUCCAAACCAGUAAGUUCCAGGGACACUUGCCAGUAACAUGGCACUUGUUAAGAGGUGGGGGGUUGUGAAACUUUUUUGCUAAACUAGUAAAACUUAAAUGAAGGGAAUUAUAUCUCUCGUUGCUAUAUCCCUCAAGGACAGAGAGGGGGUUGGAGAUAACCUUCAGGGAAGGCAGAGGGCAGGAUUGCACUGACCCCAAAGGAUGCUGGAUGUGGUCCCUGAAGCCGUGGCUGCUGCGAUGCCUCAUUGCUGCGGGGAGCAGAGCUGCUGCAGAAGGAAAGAGGUCACCUGGAAGCUGAUUUAUUUUUUUUUAUUUCUCUUUCUUUUGCAUGUUUUCAUCAAAGCUUUAUAAAUAACAGACAAAAUCCCUGGGGAAAAAAACCUCCCAACCAGCUGCCUGUUGCAAGUACUCCAGGAAAUGGGAGGUGGUGGGGGAAGAGGGAAGGAAGGCUAAAUUUGGUGGCUUUUAUUUUUAACAAGGGCUAUUUCAGUUGGCUUUAAACCCAUGUAAAAAAAAAAUAAAAAUUAGAGCCAUGGGAAACUUUUGCCAGAACCAUAGGAGUCUGUGGAGCCGAGCACUUGCUCUGGCCAGCACGGCACAGACGCAGUGUCUUUGCCAGCCCCUGCUCCAGGAUUUGACAGCUCAGACGCUGCCAAGGCCAUCGCAGGGACAGGGAGCUCAGGGACAGAGAUGAAGCGAUAUAUUUCAAGGCCUUGCAAGACUUCUCUAGCAAAGCCAAGAGAGGCUCAAAACUUUCCAAAGCAACCAAAGAGGGCAUCUGCAAGUCCUUGCUUUUUUGCAGGGCUGGUGCAGCACAGUAAAGCUUAAGUUAACGAGCCCAGACAGUCAAGCAGAAAGAAACCCCCUUCUUCUAUGUUGCUUUUUAAAAAAAUUCCAUGACAACCCUUCUCCUCCCGACUGGCCCUUGCUAAAUCUUGCUGUUUGCAACACCUGAAGUCAAGGCGUAUAAAAUGACUUGGCAGCAUCCCUCUAACAUUCCCCUGGCACUCUUUGGAGAGCAAGGGUGUUAACCUUGGUGUCCUGGCAGUGUGCCAGGGUAAGUAAUUACAUUCGGCCUCUAUAAAUUAGCCCCACGGUCGCAGCCGGGGAGCUGCAGCGUCAUUUCCUCCCGGCUGCGCGGUGCCUAACACGCUCCACCCGGGCACUGGUUGCAUCCUGGUGCAUGGACUGGUGGGGAGGAGAGGCAUGGGGAGUGAUGGGGGAUUGCUCAUGCUAAUGCUUUGUUAAAUUGCUCCGGGGUUACAGGUUUGGUUCUUGGUGCUCUUGUGUCCGGAUAGGGAGAGUGGAGAGCGCGGAGCUGAAUUGGAUCGGGCUCCCUCUACCCCAACAGGGUGACCUGAUAAAUUGCCACCAGUCAGCUGAACCUCAGUAACGGCCUCUCGGCUCGCAGCUAAAAUUAGCUGAAAUGGCAUGAAGAGAAUUGCUGAAACCUCCACGAAAGUGAUUUAAGCCGAAGCACGUGACCUCGCAUUUGUCACGGGCCGGAGCACGCGCAGGCCUGCUGGCACAGCACAGGUGAUGUGCAGGAGCGUGUUAAGCCGAGGAGUCUCGAUCUGUAAGUCUUAACUCCAGUAGCUGGACCGAAUGCUCUACCUGUGACCUUAUCUCACAUCUCUCUGUUCCCCAGCACUGACUCAGGUUAACUCCCUUCUGCUGGGACCCAGCUUAAAGGGUCUUCAGCAGGUGUUGGGUUACAGCUGGAAUGGACUUCAGAGUGCAGGAAGGGUUAAUUUAAGAUUAGGAACAAUGUGUUGGCCAACUGUGCUUAUUUUCCAGUGCAGAUGCCAAGAUAACCCUGUCCAGUCUGGGCUGAGAUGGACUGCGCUUACAUGGAGGAUGAAACCAAGAGGGCGGGAAGGUCUAAGCAGGAGGAGAUGUGGUGCCACGUUCCAGACUGUCUUGUCAUUGUUCCUUUCAAAGGAAAAAACCUAUUUGUGAAGCUGGAUAUCCAGAGCCAGUAGUAGCUUUGGUGACUGAACCCCAGGUGGUUUUCUGUUGAUUCAGAACUUCAGCAAGUCCUACUAAUUGCAAGUCCUGCCCUUGCAGUGAAGCUUUGCCUCACUCACCAUUUCCAGGCUUCAAGAUUUGGGUACUGUUACCUGUCAUUUCUGCUUCUAAAAGGACUCUGGAGACUGGGAGUUUGGGAGCGUUCUUCUAGCCCCUGGGGAUUUUGUGCAUAUGUGUUAUCCUUUCCAUAAAAGAAUCAAUCUGGUGGUCAGGCCCCAAAAUGCUUGAGUAUUUAUUUAAAAGUAAAAUAAAAAGCUGCAGCAAAUAGGGGCUGAUGUCUUAAGGGCUGGGAGAAAAAGAAGGAAGGAUGGGUGUGUCCACGUGUUACACAUCUACAGGUUCUUGUGGCGUCCUGCAAGGUGAAGGAAAGUCGGUAGCGUAUGCCUGUGGUUAUUGUGUUUGCUUCUCAGUUAUCAUAUGAGGCCUAAAUUAAGAUGUCAAUAAAAUAUUCCAUGAUGGGCAUGUUAAGACAGCUGUGCCUUGUGUUUUAUGAAAUGAUUCGAGGAGCAGAGGAAGUGGGUUGUUCCAUCUGGCACACUCUGAUGAACCCUGGUGAGGAUGCUUUGCCCCAGUUUUCAGAGGGAGAUGCUCGAAGAUGCCCAACUCUGCUCCUGCCUUGCUACCCAGGCACUAAGGGUCGGAGGAAACACUGGUGGUGACUCAGUCCCUUGGAAAAUUAUCUUGCUUAUUUAUGUGAUGGUGAGGGAGAAGUUUGUGUUUAGAGGUCAGUGAAUUAACGAAUUAGAAAACAAAGACUCAAACCAAUGUUCAUUAUUUUCUGAAAAGCAAAUGCAGUCUUGGCUUUCAUUUACUGCAGAAGCAUUUAAGAGAUUUUCCUAGCAGAGAUCAGAGCUCCAGCUAGUGAAACCCUGUAAGAAAGAGUUCGUGCCUCAGGCAGGAGACAGACAGACAGUGCAAGGGAAACAGAAGCAGUGACUGGUAUUUGAGCACGUUUACGGGAGCCAAAAAGCAGAGCUGGGACCGCAGGGCCAGCCCUGGAAACCCCAGGCCAUAGAACCAACCUCCUUCCUCCCACAGCAAUGCUCUUAACAUUGACCAAGACAGGAUCGUUCAUGUGUUGCCCCUGGAGUCAGUGGCUGAAAAGCACUUUAUGAGGCAGCAGAAACACAAUGGGCUAUUAUUUUUAGACUAGAGCCAUUCACACAUUUUCUCUGCAAAGCGGGUACCCUCUCUCUUUGUUGUGUUUAGUUGUUUGUGCUGCCUACUAUUCCCUGCCUAUCCAGCAUCUAGCAAAAUGAGAUGCUGAUCUUGUCUGGGGAGGUAAAAUAUUGCAAAUUACCCUCAUCUGGAAACCCUUUGGGUUUGAACCUGAGCGCUGCACUUGUGCUGUAGCUCCGUGUCCAAACCGGUGGAGCUAAUGACCUGAGACUGCAGGGAAGUUUGGACACAGGCUGCAGCUCUGUCUCCCGGUAAUGCUCUCCUCAGUGGAUUAGAAGAAGCUUCCCUGGCAAACUGGGAAGGAGUCCAAGCUGGGGAGCUGGUGUGAUAGGAACUGACAGGGCUGGAAAUUUGAUUUCUGACUCUUUGUGCGUGUAUUUCUUAUGAAAGAAGAAGAGGGAGAGGGAGCCAGGAGUACUUUGAAUCCUGCAAUCAUUAAAACCAAUUCCACUUUUCCUGCCCCUGCCCACCUCCUGAUAUGUGUGUGAAACAAUCUUUACAGCUACACAGCCAUCAGAUGGUAUCGACCCGGCGGUGGAAAUUGCUAUUGACUGCUGCUGGUGCUGCUCUCUGCACUUCCGUGGCUUUUAAAGUGACACUCUUCAGGUGAUUUCAGUUUGCACUUGAUACAGCCUGGGAAGCACUGCCUGAAACGGGAUGGGAAGAGCAUGUGUGGGAUUUGUGUAUGCAACAAACACCGUCACUCUCCUUUAGUCAGGGGAAGGGUGUUUGAGCAUGUGGGAAGAGAUGCUUCUGCAGAAUCAUUCAUCUAAUAGGAAGAUUCAGAAAUCUGAAUUUUUUUUUUCUUUAGUCCAUCAUGAAAGGAUUCUUGUCUCCCACUACAGUUUUUUCCUACUGCAAUUCCAGCACCAAACCAGGACCAUUCUUCUACCCAUAUGAAGAAUCCGUCCAGUCCUACAUCAGCUGAGGACUAGAUACGUUGAUUUCUUGUUUUAAGGGGCACCUCUUAUUCCAUAUUAUGAAUUCUCUCUCAUCUGCUUUGGGUUCCAAAGGAAAAAAGUCAGGAAGCAAUAAUAUUUGCCUUUGAUGCAAGUGUUUCAUGCAUCUUAAAAACCCUUUUGAUCAUGUAUGAGAACAGGGCUCUGGCUUAGGACUGUAAAAAUGCACAUUUUGUUUCCUCCAAGGCAAUUUAAUUGAUGGCAUUUGGUUAUUCCAGUUCUUGGGUUUGGAGUUAAGUGGUGGUGAGGGGAGAUGAUAAAAAAGCUGUGUAAAAACCAGGGUUAGAGUCUGACCCCAGCUCCACAGAGUAAAUCUAGUGCAAUGCCAUUCUCAUGAUGCUAGUGGUCACUUGGGUUUCUGUGCAGUGAAGGUCCCUGUCCUACCUGCAGUGAAGACCUGGUAGAUGCUGUCUUCUUCCAGAGCAGGCUGUGAUGGUGAAGUCUCCCAGGGGCUGUUUUCUUCUGGAAUGUUUCUCCAGGGCUGACGGCAGCACUGUGGCCUCCAGUCCAAAUGCAGUCCACCUGCCAAGCACUGGCUUGGAGAAGGAUGAACAUGCUUUGGGAAGUGACAUUUGUCUGGUCAAGGAGUAAAGCAGGGAGCACCCUGCUGUGGUCUGACCUGUGCUCCAAACCAGGCAAAGCUCCUGCCUCUCUUUUACCAGCAAGUUGGAGGUGCUGUUAUUAAAAGAAUGGAUGUUGCUCUCUCUCAUAGAGCUCUGCCUUUGUUCUUCUUCCAGAUUUGUGCCUUAGACUUCAACCACAUGGUAGUGCCCAGGAGCAGAGGCUGCCCAGAUGUGUCCAGAGUGUAUGUGCAAGGACUGCCCUUUUUUGUUAUCUGGAACAGUGACUGCCUAAAGCUUCUGAGCCAGCCCCUUAGCUCGAAUGCAAAUAACCACUGCUAUUAGCUAUGAGCAGUCUCUGACAGCCUUGAUUUCAGGUCACAAGACUGGCAGGCUGCUGAGGUGUCAGGAGACAUGCCUGGUAUUUCCAAACUCUCCAGCCCAAGCCCUGGGAACUGCUCUGCUGGUUUACACCGAGCCUUGGUGUUCAUGGGGUGAGUCUGACCCUUCUCAGCCUGGCUCUGUCUCAGCUGAAUGGGAGGAAGAAGUGGAAAUAGAAAGGGUUGGAUGUGGAGAGCAUGUCUUGGUGGGAUGGUUUGCAUACCCAGCCUUCCCAGGCUGGGAAGGGAGAUGGAGCAGGGCUGGGAGAUAGGGUUAACUGAGAGUCAGCAGACCUGCUGGCUGAUGCGGGCAGAGCUGAGGCAGUAAGAAGCCUGGCCUAGGGGUGGUUUGACGUGCCAAACGCUGCCCUGCAUGUUUGGGACAGAGCUCUGAGAAGAAGGUACAGAAUAUCUCUGGGUGAGCACAUGGCCCUUUGCUGCUUUUGCAUCUGCUGCCCACCCCUGGGAUGGUCACAGGUCAGACAUGUCAGUUGGGAGGGGGGCUGAUGACUAUAAAAACCUCCUCUUGCCUGUGGCUUCUUUUGCCUCUCCUCUCUUUCCCCUCUGCUUAUGGCAGCAUGCAUCUCCCAGCACACUGCUCCCAUUUCUCUCCUCCCACUGCAUCCCCAUCUGGCUACUGGAGGCCAAACACUGCCUGUUCCAUGGGGACAGUAGGGACCUGGGAUGACUUUUCUCCUCCCCACUCCUCCUUGGGCUCUGCCACUGUCUUUCUUUCUGGUCUAAUUCUUGUAUCGCUCCAGAACUAGACUAUCCUACUGGGGAAAGAACAAUUAUCUGGGAGAAGGGGCUGAAAGCCUGGAACACAGGAGGAGUUUCGGCUCUUUUAUUUGAGGCCAGGGCAAUGUGAGCCAAGUGAGGUCUUUCAAGCCUGGACCUUGAAAUCUGGGGUCCCACUCAGGACUUGUAAAAAUUAGAAAGCCAGGUUUUUACUGUGAGUUAAAUCAGUACUUCUUCAAAUGAGAUUUAUUAAUUUACAUCAUUUGAGGACCUUCCCCAGCAUGAGACUGGGGGAAAAGCAGCAUGUUAGAGUUGCUGGUAGCUUUUGAGUGUUAUAUGUCCUUUUGUCUUCCCCAUUGCAGGACCACAGCACCCCCAUCUUUUUUCCAGCCCUCUGGCAAAUGUCUUCUGUCCCCAUCCCUUGGACAUCUUGACUUUGUGGUUCAUUAAAUAGAGGUGGCAAAGGUUGAAGCUGCUGGUAAAUAGGCCAGUGUGGGAGGCUGAAGGCUCAUUCCAGAGCAAUAUUCAACAGCUCCACCUCUGUCUCAGCAGGAUCUUCUUCCAAAGCCCCAAUCCCAGUGAACAUGGCUUUCCCUUCUCAGGGCUGUGGCUUUCCCUUUGCAGCCAGUGCUGAGCUGAUGGGGCCAGUGGACCACGCAUGGAAUGUGAGUGUAGGUGGCUUGGAGCUCACUGUGAGAUGCAAACAGUGUUUGCUCUGCAGGCUUCGCUCUGGUUCAGAGGCAGUGGCAACCUGUCCUUUCUGGCUUCCCCUUUGGAGAACUGUGCCUAGGAACUUGCUCCCUUAGCCCACCUCCCAGCUCCUCAUGUCCCAUAGUAGUCAGGUGCUGCUGGAAUGUGCAUGUGCCCUUAUCAAACAGGCAGCCCUCGACAGUUUCUCUUUCUUCUGGGCUUAACCUGCCUAAGUCUUUUUGGGGCGAGAUACGAUAUGCGACUUGACAGCAAUUCGAGGUGAGAUUUUUUUCCUCCUGGGAAAGCAUGGUAAGAAAUUAAGCUUUGCAGGUUUUCUGCCCAGUGGACCAAGGAAAGAAAAGUCCUUGGUGAACUUGGGGCUGGGUCUGGAGACAGGAGAGCUGCUGCUGUGAUUUGUGGCUAUGCAGUUCUCUCUGCAGCACUGCCUCCGUACUCAGAAGUGAGAGGCAAGUGGUUUUGACACCUCUUUAUGACCUGGGAGCCACAGGGAAGUGGUGGUGACUUGUGUUCUGGAAAGACAAGGUCAUCGACAAGGGUGGUGCAAGCAUCUUUUUUGGUUCGUCUGACCCUACUAGAAUCCAAAUAUUUUCAAUUCAUAGGAAUUAAAGUGAACAUCAUAGUUUUAGGCUACUGGCUAUUUGAAUCUGGUUGCUUCCCAAGGUGGUGUACAAUACAGGGAUAUUAAGGGGAAAGCUGUUGAUAAGAGCAACAGUGAAAAUGGAUGUCUGGUUUCAAGCCUGUCUGUCCUACAACCUUCAGGGCCUGCCAGGGGACGUGUUUCCUGGGCUGUGAAAAACCAAUAUGGGACACAAUCAUAUAUCAGGGAUUAUAUCGAUCAUUGUCUCAGACCCAUUCAGUCCAAGGACACCAGCACCUUUUGGAGAGGAAGUGUUGCUCCUGCUCUGGGACUCUGGGGAGGGUGUUGAAUGCAUGGCAGUGAUGCUGUGCAAGGGGAAGUGACUCCCCUUUAGGGAAUGCUGGGUCCAUACUUGAACCAAUUAGUAGAAUGGAGCUGAGCAAAGUACAGAAGGGAUCAGACUGAUAAUAAGCAAAAUGCUCAAAUAUGGGAAGUUGGGGAAGAAGCCAAAUGAAAAUGAAAUGAAAGGCUAAGGUCCAACUUCAGCAGUUGUGCAGAAAGGAUGGGACAGCUGAUAAUAGGAAAGCCUGCAGGAACAAUGGGUCAAACCCCUACGCAAGAGACUGAAGGAAUCUGUGAACAAGCCAAGUGGGGGCGGGGGGAUUUUAUCGAAAAGCAUUUCAGCAAAUUAAAGCUGUUGGCUUGCUUACCACUAUCAAGACCUAAGUCCCUCACUGUGACCUCAUUGCUCAGUGCUUUGUGGGGAUGGCCAGUUGAGAAGUGCAUGGGUGAGUCAGGUUCUGUCUCAGAGGAGCAGCAAGGGUCUUCUUGGCAGACCUUUGCAUGGGGGGAAUGCUUCCCACCAACUUUACUGCUAUGGAGGGGCCGAGAGCAUUUGCUCUAUCCCUUAAUUCAGAGCUGAUGAGAAUUGUCUUUGGGGAUAACCUUAAACCCCUCUUUUAUGAAGGUGAAAUCAGAAACCCGUAGCUGAGCCUCUUCCUUGGCAGUCUUUCCUAGUCUUGGAAAUCCAUGGAAGACUCAAGAGACGAAAACCAAUUUCUGACUGCAGACGAACUCCAUAAAGACCACUUGAAGGUAGAUGAUGUGAUGAAAAACAUCCCAAAAACUGUAAGUCUGCAUCUAAGAAAAUUAUUUUCUUACAAAGAAAGUAGUUCUAGAUCCCUCUAGUUCACAUGAGGCAGCGGGGAUUCCUUUCACAGACACGUCGAUUAAGGUAGGCAUUACAUGAUCACCUUUGGGUGAGAACCUCAGCUCUUGCUAGUGGAGGAAAGGCUCCUCUUUUUCUUGGCUCUCCAUAUCCCCAUGUGUACAAAAAGAAUAGGGAUAUACCUUCUUGGUAAAUCAUCUGAAAAUGGACUUGCUACGAAAGACAGCCCAUUCUGCUAGCGGCAAAGAGGUCCCAUUUGGAGGCUUGACUUGUGAGAUCUCGUGGAGAAUCUAUGGAAUACAGUCAUGAGUUCGUACCUCUAAUGUGGCUUUCUCUUUAUAAAAGUACUGCACGGAAUGUGAGACUCACUAGAUAAAAGUGAAUUUAACAGCUAUUUUGUAUCCUUUGAGGAACAUCAGUGCUGGUUGAAAGAGGGGAAAAAAACCUUUUUGUUGAGUCUGGAAUGGACCUGCUUUUAUUGAAGGACUCUACAACUGCUUUUGUUGCUAUUUCCGCUGAUAGCUUUUACCUGACUUGUUUUCAAAAUCCUUGUUGAAUUUUUUUUCUGUCCACAAAAAACUGCAUUUCCUUGCUGAAAUUCAAGUUGGGGGUCUGGAAAAACGUCCUAAAUGAUUUUACAGAUGUCUUGUUCUGAUGUAGAACUCCCAGAAAUAGGGCAUUCUGUAAGGGAAGUCACCUGUUUAUUUCCAGGAGGGUAGACAAUUUAUUUUAAACAAUGCCAUCUUCUUUUCAAUUAUAGAUGCUUUUGUGGAAAAAAAAAUUCCAACAGUCUCUAAGAAAGAACACGUGAUCACAAUUAAAGGAUGUGCUGUACUGUAUCAGAAGGUAGCAUUUAAACCAGGGAAAGCCUGAAUAUUGGCUAUAACUCAUUGUAAUUAUACCAUCUAUUUCAAACAUGUAAAUAUGUUUGGUAGCACUUACAUGUUUAUGUCAGCUAUUGGGAAAAGAUGUUUUUCUUUUUGGUAAACUUCUGAUGGUAAGAAUUUUGUUCCUUGCAUUCGAAUAAAUAACAAACAAGCUUACAUACCACAAAUUUUUGUGUGAACAGAACUUGGUCCCCUCUUUUGUGGUUGUAGGAUUGUACUCAUGUUUGGGUUAUUUAUAAUAAUUUCAUGAAUAGGUAAUAUUAAUAAGCAACAUAUUAAUUAAGACAUAUAUUUCUCAGUAGGAUAAACCAUGACCGUGGCAAACUCAGUGUGAUGCAGGGGAUUAAACAUGAGGCUGGGAAUGGGGUGAGUAGGAAUCUAAUUCUGGCUCUUUCCACCCUAACUGGGGUCAGGGGUAUUUAGCUCAUUUUGGAAGGGCUUUGAGAUCUGCAGGUUGAGAUCCCUCCAGAAGACCCAGGUGCUUUCCUAAAGUCUAACACACAAACCCUGCAAAAACCUGAAGGCUGAUUUAACCUGGCAUUGGAAGUGAAGCUGCAUCUCUGCUCGAAUUGAUGAGAAAACUCCCUUUGCUUCUGGGGAUUGGGAUCCUUUGCUAGGAGAAAUCAUUCUGAGCCUAUUUCCCGUCCCUUUGACAUUUUCUGUCUUAUCAAAAGCCAAAGGAGUAAGGAAGAAGGUUAAUGACUAAAUUGACAAAUAAACAAUCAGUUCAAAGCAGCAA